Molecule: ribosomal RNA, 253 nt
Filed under: uncultured bacterium
Lineage: Bacteria
Description: partial 16S ribosomal RNA
Rfam family: Bacterial small subunit ribosomal RNA
Source: RNAcentral
UACGGGGGGGGUAAGCGUUGUUCGGAAUUACUGGGCGUAAAGGGCUCGUAGGCGGCCAACUAAGUCAGACGUGAAAUCCCUCAGCUUAACUGGGGAACUGCGUCUGAUACUGGAUGGCUUGGAUUCGGGAGAGGAAUGCGGAAUUCCAGGUGUAGCGGUGAAAUGCGUAGAUAUCGUAAGGAAGACCAGUGGCGAAGGCGAAUCUCUGGACAGUUACUGACACUGAGGCACGAAGGCCAGGGGAGCAAACGGG